CCGACCUUAGCUCAGUUGGCAGAGCGCGAGACUGUAAUGGGAACCGUCCUUCGUUUCAUCUAUGGACAUUUGGAAUCUUGAGGUCGCUUGUUCGAGGCAAGCAGGUCGGA
This is a non-coding RNA of Macrolepiota fuliginosa MF-IS2, 110 nucleotides long. Lineage: Eukaryota; Fungi; Basidiomycota; Agaricomycetes; Agaricales; Agaricaceae. The record is from the annotation of a GenBank genome assembly.